UAGGGAAUCUUGCGCAAUGGGCGAAAGCCUGACGCAGCCACGCCGCGUGAGGGAUGAAGGCUCUCGGGUUGUAAACCUCUUUCAGCAGGGACGAAAAUGACGGUACCUGCAGAAGAAGCUCCGGCCAACUACGUGCCAGCAGCCGCGGUAAUACGAAGGGACCUAGCGUAGUUCGGAAUUACUGGGCUUAAAGAGCUCGUAGGUGGUUAAAGAAGUUGGUGGUGAAAUCCCAAGGCUUAACCUUGGAACUGCCAUCAAAACUUUUUAGCUAGAGUAUGAUAGAGGAAAGUGGAAUUUCUAGUGUAGAGGUGAAAUUCGUAGAUAUUAGAAAGAACAUCAAAAGCGAAGGCAACUUUCUGGAUCAUUACUGACACUGAGGAGCGAAAGCAUGGGUAGCGAAGAGG
This 404-nucleotide ribosomal RNA is filed under the name uncultured bacterium. Its description in RNAcentral is "bacterial SSU rRNA". It matches the Rfam family "Bacterial small subunit ribosomal RNA", at positions 355 to 776 of the family's 1533-position model. The record is from RNAcentral.